GAUGAAGAACGCAGCGAAAUGCGAUAAGUAGUGUGAAUUGCAGAAUUCAGUGAAUCAUCGAAUCUUUGAACGCACAUUGCGCCUCCUGGUAUUCCAGGGGGCAUGCCUGUUCGAGCGUCAUUUGUACCUUCAAGCUCUGCUUGGUGUUGGGUGUUUGUCUCGCCUCUGCGUGUAGACUCGCCUUAAAACAAUUGGCAGCCGGCGUAUUGAUUUCGGAGCGCAGUACAUCUCGCGCUUUGCACUCAUAACGACGACGUCCAAAAGUACAUUUUUACACUCUUGACCUCGGAUCAGGUAGGGAUACCCGCUGAACUUAAGCAUAUCAAUAAGCGGAGGA
RNAcentral lists this unclassified non-coding RNA (337 nucleotides) under soil metagenome. RNAcentral describes it as "partial contains 5.8S ribosomal RNA, internal transcribed spacer 2, and large subunit ribosomal RNA". The stretch from base 1 to 120 matches the Rfam family "5.8S ribosomal RNA", at positions 35 to 154 of the family's 154-position model. The record is from RNAcentral.